GUGAAAAGCAGCUUUGUGCCUGCGGUGGUCUGUGAGCAGUGCAGAGAGAGAGGUGGCAUUUGGGACACGGGGUGGCUCUUCACUGGGGGCCCUUCAGUGCCGGGAUGCAGAGCUGUGAAAUGGGUGCCAGCGUGACCGCCCAGGACAUCUGCAGCUCCCCUGGUGAUGGUGACCUCCCUGCUCCUCAUCUGAGCCAGGAUUUAUCACAUGCUCAUCCUGGCGACACGGUUCUGGCUGGGUGCUUCAUCCUGACUGGUUCCCCUGCUACCCGAAUUGUCUUCUGCAAGGAUGGGGUGGAGGAGUAGAGCCUGAAAGUCCAACAGGGGCAGCUGAGCUACUUUGUGCUGCUGAACGUCACCCUGGGCAGCGCAGGGACGUACGCGUGUGGGUACCAGCACAGGAACGAGAGCAACUGGGUGAGGAGCUCUGCCCUCAGCGCUCCCCGGCACCUGGCUGUCCCAGAUGUCUCUAGGGUGAUAUCCCUUCCCAGGGGGUCUCCGUCUCUCUCCAUCUCACACUUCUGCUGCAGACAUGGGACUCAGCAGUGCCCAGGAUCAGAAAGCCAGGGCUGGGGCUGCUGGAAGAGCUUGGGAUGCACCAGGGAUGCUCCAAGGUCUCCCAUGUAACUCUAUGAGCUGACAUCAGGGAAACCGGGGAGAGUUGCAUGAGCUGGGUGGUUCCCCAGGAGCCUGAUGAAGCCAGACAUGAGCUGGGGUUUCUGCUCGGUGUCUGGGAUGGUCCCAGUGCAGGACAGUGAGACUCACAAGGUCUGCAUUUCUCUGACAGGCAGCAGCCCCUCACCAGGAACAGGGCUCCCACACGGAGGGCCAGCCAUACCCCUCUGGAUCUGGAUCCUGUGCUCUGCCCUCACUCUGCUCCUCCUGGUUUCUGCCCCCAUCAUCACCCUCAUCCUGGAGAGAUGCAGCCACUCGGCCACUGGGACUGGCCACUCUGGAGACGUCCCUCUCCCCACUGUCAUCUGAUGCCCUCACUUCCCUGGGCUCCCUGCUGUCCCCAUGUCACGUGUGACGUGGGACUUCUACCUUCUACCACCCCCAGGCUUCCAGUUUGGGUCUGGUCACUGAGGGUCUCAUGCCCAAGGGACGUGCUCCCAUCGCUCUGCUCUCUUUUGCUCAGCCCCUGCUCUCUCCUCUGAUCAAGGACCCUGGAAUC
This is a long non-coding RNA of Chroicocephalus ridibundus (black-headed gull), 1173 nucleotides long. RefSeq lists it as uncharacterized. The transcript is spliced from 5 exons. Lineage: Eukaryota; Metazoa; Chordata; Aves; Charadriiformes; Laridae. The record is from RefSeq and is a predicted model, not a curated record.